Molecule: transfer RNA, 87 nt
Filed under: Candidatus Yonathbacteria bacterium RBG_16_43_6
Lineage: Bacteria; Candidatus Yonathiibacteriota
Description: tRNA-Leu
Rfam family: tRNA
About the family: Transfer RNA (tRNA) molecules are approximately 80 nucleotides in length.
Source: RNAcentral
GCCGGAGUGGCGGAACUGGUAGACGCGCUACGUUCAGGACGUAGUGAGCAUUUGCUUGUGGAGGUUCGAGUCCUCUCUUCGGCACCA